CCUACGGUGGACAGCAGUGGGGAAUAUUGCACAAUGGGGGAAACCCUGAUGCAGCGACGCCGCGUGAGUGAAGAAGUAUCUCGGUACGUAAAGCUCUAUCAGCAGGGAAGAAACUGACGGUACCUGACUAAGAAGCCGCGGCUAACUACGUGCCAGCAGCCGAGGUAAUACGUAGGGGGCAAGCGUUAUCCGGAUUGACUGGGUGGAAAGGGAGCGUAGGCGGCAGCACAAGUCUGGAGUGAAAUCCCGGGGCUUAACCCCGGAACUGCUUGGGAAACUGUGCGGCUAGAGUGCAGGCGGGGUAAGCGGAAUUCCUAGUGUAGCGGUGAAAUGCGUAGAUAUUAGGAGGAACACCGGUGGCGAAGGCGGCUUACUGGACUGUAACUGACGUUGAGGCGCGAAAGCGUGGGGAGCAAACAGGAUUAGAUACCCUUGUAGUC
Molecule: ribosomal RNA, 440 nt
Filed under: uncultured bacterium
Lineage: Bacteria
Description: partial 16S ribosomal RNA
Rfam family: Bacterial small subunit ribosomal RNA
Source: RNAcentral